UUUGCUUAGACCUCACAAAUUUUAAAUUGUUGCUCACGUGCAAAGCCCGCGCAACAACCUGGCAGAAUGUAAACUGAUGUUUGUGUGACGUGUCGAGUGCGCGCAAAACUGACGUCUCUCAGAGUGGAUCGUUAUACCUUAGACGCCAGCUGCGAGUUUUUCUGAGUGUUGAUUGUCAUCUGAUUGUGAGCUAACUACAGCCCAAAGGCUCUUUUAAGAGCCACAAGCACUGAGGAUCUUUGGCUUUGUAAGUAUAUGUUUUGACUAUCAGAUGCAUUACGUGAUUAACAUAUUGUAAUGCAUAACUUGCAGGGCUUUACACUUACAUUUCUUUUUAGGAGCACUUAGGUAAUUUUUUUAUUUAUUUAACCUUAAUAAAAAUUAAAUAAAAAAUAAAGUAAAACCCUGCCCUCUAUUUAAUAUUCCGUUUCACAUGGAAAUACUUCACAACACUGGAAAAAAGUUGUCUGCAACUUUCUGUUCACUGGGACUUUAAUGAGGCUCUGAAGGGGCAUUUAAAUUCAUGAUAACAAUAUGUUAUGAGAUUAAUGUUUUAAAUAGAAGGUUUUGAAUGUAGAAAUAUUAAAUGAUUUAAAUAACUGAAAAAAUUAAACUAAAACUGCCAGUAGGGGACGGCAAGUCACUGUCUUUGUCACUGAAUGAUUCAUUCAGUCAGUUCGUUCAAACGGCAGAUUUAUUCAGGAACAAAGCAAGCGACUGUCUUUUUGAAUGGGUCAUUGACUCACUAGAUUUGUUUGAAAAUGCAGAUUCAUUCAUAAACGAAACACCGCUGUGUAGUAGUGGGAAGUUCGGAUCAUUUUACUGACUCGGAUAUUUGAGUCUCGUUCAGCAAAAUU
Cyprinus carpio (common carp) is the source of this 857-nucleotide long non-coding RNA. RefSeq lists it as uncharacterized. The record is from RefSeq and is a predicted model, not a curated record. NCBI's taxonomy places the organism in Eukaryota, Metazoa, Chordata, Actinopteri, Cypriniformes, Cyprinidae.